GACGAACGCUGGCGGCGUGCCUAAUACAUGCAAGUCGAACGAACUCUGGUUUUUGAUUGACGGUGCUUGCACCUGAUUGAUUAAACAUUUGAGUGAGUGGCGAACCGGUGAGUAACACGUAGGAAACCUGCCCAGAAGCGGGGGAUAACACCUGGAAACAGAUGCUAAUACCGCAUAACAACUUGAACCGCAUGGUUCGAGUUUGAAAGAUGGCUCUGCUAUCAAUUCUGGAUGGUCCUGCGGCGUAUUAGCUAGAUGGUGAGGUAACGGCUCACCAUGGCAAUGAUACGUAGCCGACCUGAGAGGGUAAUCGGCCACAUUGGGACUGAGACACGGCCCAAACUCCUACGGGAGGCAGCAGUAGGGAAUCUUCCACAAUGGACGAAAGUCUGAUGGAGCAACGCCGCGUGAGUGAAGAAGGGUUUCGGCUCGUAAAACUCUGUUGUUAGAGAAGAACAUAUCUGAGAGUAACUGUUCAGGUAUUGACGGUAUCUAACCAGAAAGCCACGGCUAACUACGUGCCAGCCGCCGCCGUAA
This 537-nucleotide ribosomal RNA is filed under the name uncultured bacterium. RNAcentral describes it as "partial 16S ribosomal RNA". It matches the Rfam family "Bacterial small subunit ribosomal RNA", at positions 28 to 523 of the family's 1533-position model. The record is from RNAcentral.